GGCAGUUUUCGGGUGACACACACUGGAAUCGGGCUCCCUCCUCUCUGGUUUGGGGUAUGUCACCUAAGAACUGCA
Myotis davidii is the source of this 75-nucleotide non-coding RNA. NCBI's taxonomy places the organism in Eukaryota, Metazoa, Chordata, Mammalia, Chiroptera, Vespertilionidae. The record is from Rfam.